UGGGAACGUGCCCAAAGGUACGGAACAACUCCGGGAAACUGGAGCUAAUACCGUAUGUGCCCGAAAGGGGAAAGAUUCAUCGCCUUUGGAUCGGUCCGCGUCUGAUUAGCUAGUUGGCGGGGUAAUGGCCCACCAAGGCGACGAUCAGUAGCUGGUCUGAGAGGAUGACCAGCCACACUGGGACUGAGACACGGCCCAGACUCCUACGGGAGCAG
RNAcentral lists this ribosomal RNA (215 nucleotides) under uncultured bacterium. RNAcentral describes it as "partial 16S ribosomal RNA". It matches the Rfam family "Bacterial small subunit ribosomal RNA", at positions 118 to 347 of the family's 1533-position model. The record is from RNAcentral.